This 329-nucleotide long non-coding RNA is filed under the name Chinchilla lanigera (long-tailed chinchilla). RNAcentral's name for it is "lncRNA (ENSCLAG00000026658.1)". Lineage: Eukaryota; Metazoa; Chordata; Mammalia; Rodentia; Chinchillidae. The record is from RNAcentral.
AUUCUAUAGCAGUAGAUUCACAAUUUCAGAUUGUACAUUUACAUCUUUAAUCAAUUUUGAGGUUUUGUUUUCAUACAGGAGUGAGCUGAAGAAUAACUGAAAUAAUAUACUCUCCACUGAAAAAUCAAGAUGCAUGCAUAUUAUUCUGUGAUGCAAUCUUUUACAAAGAAGCUGGCCCCACGUGUCUCCAUGUAUAACGGGAAUGAAUGGCUGUGACUGGAAAGGGACACUUUCAUUCUUUGUAGAGUGACCAGGUACCAUCGAAUAGACAUUUACUUUGUGUAACUGAUUGUUUCUGAUGUAGUAAAGACUGUAUUUUUACAUUAAAG